UACGAAGGGGGCUAGCGUUGCUCGGCAUCACUGGGCGUAAAGCGCACGUAGGCGGCUUUCUACGUCAGGGGUGAAAUCCUGGAGCUCAACUCCAGAACUGCCUUUGAUACUGGAGAGCUCGAGUCCGGAAGAGGUGAGUGGAACUCCGAGUGUAGAGGUGAAAUUCGUAGAUAUUCGCAAGAACACCAGUGGCGAAGGCGGCCGACUGGUCCGGUUCUGACGCUGAGGCGCGAAAGCGUGGGGAGCAAACAGG
Molecule: ribosomal RNA, 253 nt
Filed under: uncultured bacterium
Lineage: Bacteria
Description: partial 16S ribosomal RNA
Rfam family: Bacterial small subunit ribosomal RNA
Source: RNAcentral